CGCUUGCGCGUCCCGCCGGCGACCGGCGCACGGGUGAGUAACACGUAUGCAACCUGCCCCCGCCAGGGGUACAACCCUCCGAAAGGGGGGCUGAUACCGCGUACAUCCCCUGGGGGCAUCCCCGGGGGAGGAAAGCCCUUCUGGGCGGGCGGGGAUGGGCAUGCGGCGCAUUAGGAAGACGGCGGUGUGACGGACCACCGUUCCGACGAUGCGUAGGGGUUCUGAGAGGAAGGCCCCCCACACUGGUACUGAGACACGGACCAGACUCCUACGGAAGGCAGCAG
Molecule: ribosomal RNA, 284 nt
Filed under: uncultured bacterium
Lineage: Bacteria
Description: partial 16S ribosomal RNA
Rfam family: Bacterial small subunit ribosomal RNA
Source: RNAcentral